GUCCGGCUAGCUCAGUUGGUAGCGCAUGGGAUUCUUGAUCUCAGUGGGUUUGAGCCCCAUGCUGGGUG
This is a non-coding RNA of Pangasius djambal, 68 nucleotides long. The record is from the annotation of a GenBank genome assembly. Lineage: Eukaryota; Metazoa; Chordata; Actinopteri; Siluriformes; Pangasiidae.